Molecule: ribosomal RNA, 486 nt
Filed under: uncultured bacterium
Lineage: Bacteria
Description: partial 16S ribosomal RNA
Rfam family: Bacterial small subunit ribosomal RNA
Source: RNAcentral
AUUGAACGCUGGCGGCAUGCCUUACACAUGCAAGUCGAACGGCAGCACGGGUGCUUGCGCCUGGUGGCGAGUGGCGAACGGGUGAGUAAUACAUCGGAACAUGUCCUGUAGUGGGGGAUAGCCCGGCGAAAGCCGGAUUAAUACCGCAUACGAUCUACGGAUGAAAGCGGGGGACCUUCGGGCCUCGCGCUAUAGGGUUGGCCGAUGGCUGAUUAGCUAGUUGGUGGGGUAAAGGCCUACCAAGGCGACGAUCAGUAGCUGGUCUGAGAGGACGACCAGCCACACUGGGACUGAGACACGGCCCAGACUCCUACGGGAGGCAGCAGUGGGGAAUUUUGGACAAUGGGCGAAAGCCUGAUCCAGCAAUGCCGCGUGUGUGAAGAAGGCCUUCGGGUUGUAAAGCACUUUUGUCCGGAAAGAAAUCCUUGGCCCUAAUACGGUCGGGGGAUGACGGUACCGGAAGAAUAAGCACCGGCUAACUACGUG